This 253-nucleotide ribosomal RNA is filed under the name uncultured bacterium. RNAcentral's name for it is "partial 16S ribosomal RNA". It matches the Rfam family "Bacterial small subunit ribosomal RNA", at positions 524 to 776 of the family's 1533-position model. The record is from RNAcentral.
UACGUAGGCAGCGAGCGUUGUUCGGAAUUACUGGGCGUAGAGAGUGUGUAGGCGGUGCUCUAAGUUCGGUGUGAAAUCUCCCGGCUUAACUGGGAGGGUGCGCCGGAAACUGGAGUGCUCGAACGUAGGAGAGGAAAGCGGAAUUCCUGGUGUAGCGGUGAAAUGCGUAGAUAUCAGGAGGAACACCUGCGGUGUAGACGGCUUUCUGGACCAUUGUUGACGCUGAGACACGAAAGCGUGGGUAGCAAACAGG